Molecule: ribosomal RNA, 253 nt
Filed under: uncultured bacterium
Lineage: Bacteria
Description: partial 16S ribosomal RNA
Rfam family: Bacterial small subunit ribosomal RNA
Source: RNAcentral
UACAGAGGUCUCAAGCGUUGUUCGGAUUCAUUGGGCGUAAAGGGUGCGUAGGUGGCGCCGUAAGUCAGGUGUGAAAUCUCGGGGCUCAACCCCGAAACUGCACUUGAUACUGCGGUGCUCGAGUACUGGAGAGGAGAUUGGAAUUUACGGUGUAGCAGUGAAAUGCGUAGAUAUCGUAAGGAAGGCCGGUGGCGAAAGCGAGUCUCUGGACAGUUACUGACGCUGAUGCACGAAGGCCAGGGGAGCAAACGGG